Molecule: ribosomal RNA, 207 nt
Filed under: uncultured bacterium
Lineage: Bacteria
Description: partial 16S ribosomal RNA
Rfam family: Bacterial small subunit ribosomal RNA
Source: RNAcentral
UCGGAUCGCAGGCUGUAACCCGCCUGCGUGAAGUUGGAAUCGCUAGUAAUCGCGGAUCAGCAUGCCGCGGUGAAUACGUUCCCGGGCCUUGUACACACCGCCCGUCACACCAUGAGAGUCGGGAACACCCGAAGUCCGUAGCCUAACCGCAAGGGGGCGCGGCCGAAGGUGGGUUCGAUAAUUGGGGUGAAGUCGUAACAAGGUAGC